RNAcentral lists this ribosomal RNA (449 nucleotides) under uncultured bacterium. RNAcentral describes it as "bacterial SSU rRNA". It matches the Rfam family "Bacterial small subunit ribosomal RNA", at positions 329 to 795 of the family's 1533-position model. The record is from RNAcentral.
UUCCAGACUCCUACGGGAGGCAGCAGUGGGGAAUAUUGCACAAUGGGGGAAACCCUGAUGCAGCGACGCCGCGUGAGUGAAGAAGUAUUUCGGUAUGUAAAGCUCUAUCAGCAGGGAAGAAAAUGACGGUACCUGAGUAAGAAGCCCCGGCUAACUACGUGCCAGCAGCCGCGGUAAUACGUAGGGGGCAAGCGUUAUCCGGAUUUACUGGGGGUAAAGGGAGCGUAGACGGCGAUACAAGUCUGAAGUGAAAGCCCGGGGCUCAACCCCGGGACUGCCUUGGAAACUGUGUUGCUGGAGUGCUGGAGAGGCAAGCGGAAUUCCUAGUGUAGCGGGGAAAUGCGUAGAUAUUAGGAAGAACACCAGUGGCGGAGGGGGCGUGCUGGACAGUAACUGACGUUGAGGCUCGAAAGCGUGGGGAGCAAACAGGAUUAGAUACCCCAGUAGAU